Long non-coding RNA from Paramisgurnus dabryanus, 1388 nucleotides. RefSeq lists it as uncharacterized. NCBI's taxonomy places the organism in Eukaryota, Metazoa, Chordata, Actinopteri, Cypriniformes, Cobitidae. The record is from RefSeq and is a predicted model, not a curated record.
AUUUUUAAAUCAAUCACUUUGUCUCUGCACAAUGAACAUUAUCAAAUAUUAUUAAUGUUGUAAAAUAUAUUGUUCAUUGUUAGUUCAUAUUAGCUAAGGCAUUACCAAAUGUUAAGGAAUAAACUCUUAUAGUAAAGUGUUACUAAAUUUUCUUUUACCAUUUCCUUCACAAUGUCUACUUAUUUCUAUGGCUAACAGAUUUUGUAACAUUUGUCUUUUUUACAGUCUUACCAUUGCUUGUAAACUGGAUUGGGUAAGAUGGAUCAUCUUUAAAGGCACCAGGCAAGUACAUGAUGUACAGUUACAAGUCAUGUAUUUUUUCGACUGCAAUAUUAAAUGCUUUCACGUCACAUGUAAAAGUACACAGGAAUGUGCUGAUCACUUUUUAUUUGUAGUUUACAUGAGUGUCAUUGCACUUUUCAGGAGUUAAGGCAGAUGUGGAGGCACAAUGGGUGACACCAGACACACACCAAGCACAUUAUGUUCGGACAUUCAAUCAUGACAUGAUCCAUGUGGAUGCUGUCCAUUGAGGAAAGAGUUUGUUCCGAGGUUUCUGGAUAGAAUUAAUUCCAAAGAUGGGAAAAAAUGCACAUCCAGACAAGGAGCAAGCAAAAAGACAAGGAACUUGGUGCAGAGAAAAGCUGUGGCCAUUAACCCCCAUGUGAACAGCUUCAUGCAGUCCCUGAUUGAGUUCGAAUGGACGACUUCAAAGUAAAGGCCACUGUGGUCUGUCUGCCAGUUUAAUGCAUUUAUUUUUAGUGUUAAAUGAAAUUCAAGUAGAAUAUUUAAAACUAUGGGCCAGUGUUCUUUUUACCACAGUGAAAUGUUACCUUUUAGUCGAUGAUGGACUUUAAACUGAAAACUUCAAACUAUGGAACAGUGUUCUAUUUGCCAGAGUUAAAUAUGUUACAGCAGGGGUCUCCAAACUUGUUUAUACUUGUUGAUUUUAUUUUAUGUUACUUGAUUAUAUGUUUAUUAUUGUUUAAAAUCUUGUUUUAAAUGUUUUGUUUCAAUUAAAUGUUUUUUUAAAUAAAAUUUUGAUACAAACAUUGCUUGGAUUGCCUUUUAAUUCAUUAUGUCAUGUCAAGGAUAGCAUUUUUACCAUAUUAAUAACUAUAGAUUUAAACCUAAAUCUCUAUCUAUUUUAUAUAAUAUUAUUGUAUUAACUGUAAUAAGUAAUAAAUAGUAUUUAUGGGUCAAUAUAGACAUUACAGUAAAUUACUGUAAAAAUAGACUACUGUAAUAAAAUAUUGUAAAAUUACAGUACAGUACUGCUUUGUAACUAUACAGUACUAGUUUGUGUACUGUAAAAUGGUAUUACAGUACAGUACUGUAAACCCAAAAUACAGUAACUUACUGGCAACCGUGCUGCCAGUACCGUACUGUAA